GUGACCGUGAGCGGGCGGACCACCCCCAGCGCCAGCCUCCUCGCCUCUCCAGCAGGAACGAGGCCCACAGCGCCCCCUGAAGACGCGCGAGCUAGUGAGCUGCGCACACAGUCUGUCUGCUCUUCCUCCUCUACCUCCCGGGAAAGGAAAGCAUGUGCCCUCACCCUGGGACCCCUGCUGGGAUGGUCAGGACUCGGUACACAGAAAGGUAUUCCAGAGGCUAAAUUCCAAGGUGAGGCAGACUGUCCUGCGGAUGUCACGCAGAUAAGAUCAAGUUCUGGUGACCUCCCAGAGCAGCUUCCAAAGGGCAGGCAUGUCCCCAGGAGAGGAGCAGCCGCCUACCCUUGGUCCAGGAAGCAGAGGGGUCUGGGCUGCUGCCCCCCUCCCAUCUGGCUGGGUGGACGGGGACACUGCCUUCAAGCCCCGAGUCAUUGCUAGAAGCCAUCCUGGGCCCCGGGAGGGCAGGCAGGGACGGCUUCCCUCAGGUGGUUCCUGAACCUGUGUCCUUGGCCACCCCCUCCCUCAGCCCGGCCCCUGUUCUCUGGGCCUCUUCUGCCUCUAAACCCUGCAGGGGGCUUGGACGUGAGUGGAAUAUCUGGAAUUCCUAGAGGAUUUAUAAUCCAGCAACUGGGACAGGUGUGGGUAGCUGACCCCCACCCCGUCUCUGCCUCUGCCCCCGGCUCUGCCCUUCAUCUUUCCUCUUGGGCCCCAGUGUCACGUCACAUCUAAGUCACCAUCUUGACCUUCGUCUCCUUGUUCAGAGCAGAGAGCACGAGAUGCAGCAUCAGGAGCCCUUUUCUAGACUCAGCUCUGCCGGUGACUGUGUGUGGCCUCAGGCAGUCCACCUCACCUCCUCGGCCUGUUUCCUCAUCUGUGAAAUGGGUGCCUUCCCCCUGCCCUCCACGUGGGACAUCCGGUUAAUUUACCGUUUAUCCACUGGAUGUGUUUUGAGUGCUGGCUCUCCACCCUGCUCUCCUGGGUGCUGCCUUAGGAGAGCAAAACUGGACCCAGGUUCUCUUCUGCGAGGGAUUACAUAGCCCUCCCUCCUCACCCCGCCACCCCGCCAGCUCCACCAGCUCCCAGGCCAGCACUGUGCCCUCUGCAUCCCCGCUGCUCAGCACCCAGCAAAUGCCUGUCGUCUAAUAGCCUUCAACACAGUGCAGGUGCCAUUUGGGGGCUAAAAGGGAAGUUGGUUUCUGCCUGAAGCUGGCCCUGACUCUGUUAUUUAGGAUAAUAAAGAUGGGGAAAGUAAGCGAGGCUCGCCACUGGGUUAGAGUGUGUGCUGCUGCUGCCAGCCUGCACAGGGCAGCUUGGCCAUAACACAAUUACAAAUGCAGCCGGGCCUCAGGGGCCGAGCGUCCACGCAUGAACCAGGAGGUCACGGUUUGAGUCCCGGUCAGGGCACAUGUCUGGUUUUCGGGCUACAUCCCCAGUGGGAGGCGUGCAGGAGGUAGCCAAUCAAUGAUUCUCUCUCAUCUUUGAUGUUUCUAUCUCUCCCUCCCUCUCCUUUCCUCUCUCUGAAAUCAAUAAAAAAAUAUUAAGAAUUAUAAAUGCAUUCUCUUUUGGACCCCACAACUCCACUUCUAGGAAUUUACAGAUGGAUGCUCACACAGGUACAAUGAUGUCUGUGCAAUGUUGGUCACUGUAGCAUUUUUUUCAACAGGUUGGAAACAACUUAAAUGUUCAUCUCUGGAGUUUGAUACAUUAUGCUGCACCUCCCUUGAGGGGAAUCCUCUGAGGUGCAAAAAAACACUGAGGAGGCUCUUCUUGAAUAUACAUAGGAAGACCUCUAAGACAUAGUGUUGAAUUAAAAAGGAAGCAGGAAUAAAACCCUCACUGUGCAGAGCUGGGUCUGCCCCCGCAAGACCUGCUGAUGGUGCUAAAGAGCUGGGGCUCCUAACUGCCUGUUAUUCAUCACGAGGAACAAAGCAGAGGGGGCGCUCUGGACAUUGCUGCUGGGACAUGUGGCUGGGGAGGGAGCAAAACUCAGACCCUUAGCCCCUCGAAAUGUCUCCGUGGGCAAACAUGUAUGGAGCCCCAAGGGCCGGCUCGGUGCUGGGAGAGUAAAGGCAGCAAGACCCAGGCCCUGCCCGCCCUGGGCUCCAGCCUCCUACGGAAUUCCUAGGCGAGGAUUCUCCGCGAGUCCUCAGUGCGGUCCCAGCAGAGGCCUGUAGCCAGUGCAACUUCAAUGGACACAACUAGGCCUAUCCAAGGGGCGAACCUCGCGGUCCUCAGUGAGCACAUGGCCAAGCAGAAUCUUCUUGGUGGCAGGACACCACUAGCGAUU
This is a long non-coding RNA of Myotis lucifugus (little brown bat), 2287 nucleotides long. RefSeq lists it as uncharacterized. The record is from RefSeq and is a predicted model, not a curated record. NCBI's taxonomy places the organism in Eukaryota, Metazoa, Chordata, Mammalia, Chiroptera, Vespertilionidae. The transcript has 3 exons.